Molecule: ribosomal RNA, 402 nt
Filed under: uncultured bacterium
Lineage: Bacteria
Description: bacterial SSU rRNA
Rfam family: Bacterial small subunit ribosomal RNA
Source: RNAcentral
UGGGGAAUAUUGGACAAUGGGCGAAAGCCUGAUCCAGCCAUGCCGCGUGAGUGAUGAAGGCCUUAGGGUUGUAAAGCUCUUUUGUCGGGGACGAUAAUGACGGUACCCGAAGAAUAAGCUCCGGCUAACUUCGUGCCAGCAGCCGCGGUAAUACGAAGGGAGCUAGCGUUGUUCGGAAUCACUGGGCGUAAAGCGCACGUAGGCGGAUUUGUAAGUCAGGGGUGAAAUCCCGGGGCUCAACCUCGGAACUGCCUUUGAUACUACAGAUCUCGAGUCCGAUAGAGGUGGGUGGAAUUCCUAGUGUAGAGGUGAAAUUCGUAGAUAUUAGGAAGAACACCGGUGGCGAAGGCGGCCCACUGGAUCGGUACUGACGCUGAGGUGCGAAAGCGUGGGGAGCAAACA